GCGGGAAUAGCUCAGUUGGUAGAGCAUAACCUUGCCAAGGUUGGGGUCGCGA
RNAcentral lists this transfer RNA (52 nucleotides) under Acinetobacter baumannii PR07. RNAcentral describes it as "tRNA-Gly". It matches the Rfam family "tRNA", at positions 1 to 50 of the family's 71-position model. Rfam says of the family: Transfer RNA (tRNA) molecules are approximately 80 nucleotides in length. Lineage: Bacteria; Pseudomonadati; Pseudomonadota; Gammaproteobacteria; Moraxellales; Moraxellaceae. The record is from RNAcentral.